CACUUUUUACAUAUAUUAAUUCUAAAUAUAAAAUUGGUUCCAUUUUAUAUUUAUUUUAUUAUAUAUUGAAAAUUAUUAAAAAUAUUUUAUAUAUGUUUAUAAUGUUUUUAUUAAGUUGAGUAAAUCAAUUGACCACACUCAAGCAUGUAGCUAUUUCAUUGUGAUGGCCCCUCAAAAAAUAUUUUCUAGCUCCACUCUGGUUUGGACGGGCGUAAGCCUGUGAACAUGUAAUUUUUUUUCUUAGGCUAGUUAUGAUUAAACCUGUCCUAGUUUGAAGUCAUUUGUGAGAUAAUGGCAUAUUCCUAGAACCUCCUAGAACAUAUCUAUUGAUAUUUUCUGACUUAUAUUUUUUUUUGCUUUCAUAUCAGGCGGCUGGGAGAUCCCUCUUAU
This 390-nucleotide unclassified non-coding RNA is filed under the name Hevea brasiliensis (rubber tree). The record is from RNAcentral. Lineage: Eukaryota; Viridiplantae; Streptophyta; Magnoliopsida; Malpighiales; Euphorbiaceae.